This 64-nucleotide ribosomal RNA is filed under the name Staphylococcus agnetis. RNAcentral describes it as "partial 23S ribosomal RNA". The record is from RNAcentral. Lineage: Bacteria; Bacillati; Bacillota; Bacilli; Caryophanales; Staphylococcaceae.
GAGGUGGAAGCGUAGCGAUACGUGGAGCUGACGAAUACUAAUCGAUCGAAGACUUAAUCAAUUU